This 245-nucleotide ribosomal RNA is filed under the name uncultured bacterium. Its description in RNAcentral is "partial 16S ribosomal RNA". It matches the Rfam family "Bacterial small subunit ribosomal RNA", at positions 524 to 768 of the family's 1533-position model. The record is from RNAcentral.
GACAGAGGGUGCAAGCGUUGUUCGGAAUUACUGGGCGUAAAGGGCGUGUAGGCGGCAGGGUGUGUCCUGUGUGAAAUACCUCGGCUCAACCGGGGAAGUGCGCAGGAUCCUACCUUGCUCGAGUGCGAGAGAGGGUGGCGGAAUUCUCAGUGUAGAGGUGAAAUUCGUAGAUACUGGGAGGAACACCGGAGGCGAAGGCGGCCACCUGGAUCGUUACUGACGCUGAAACGCGAAAGCGUGGGGAG